Molecule: ribosomal RNA, 253 nt
Filed under: uncultured bacterium
Lineage: Bacteria
Description: partial 16S ribosomal RNA
Rfam family: Bacterial small subunit ribosomal RNA
Source: RNAcentral
UACGUAGGGUGCAAGCGUUAAUCGGAAUUACUGGGCGUAAAGCGUGCGCAGGCGGUUUUGUAAGACUGUCGUGAAAUCCCCGGGCUUAACCUGGGAAUGGCGAUGGUGACUGCAAGGCUAGAGUUUGGCAGAGGGGGGUAGAAUUCCACGUGUAGCAGUGAAAUGCGUAGAGAUGUGGAGGAACACCGAUUGCGAAGGCAGCCCGCUACGCAACUAUUGACGCUGAGGCACGAAAGCGUGGGGAUCAAACAGG